Molecule: ribosomal RNA, 574 nt
Filed under: Coniochaeta sp. BESC803p
Lineage: Eukaryota; Fungi; Ascomycota; Sordariomycetes; Coniochaetales; Coniochaetaceae
Description: eukaryotic LSU rRNA
Rfam family: Eukaryotic large subunit ribosomal RNA
Source: RNAcentral
ACCUCGGAUCAGGUAGGAAUACCCGCUGAACUUAAGCAUAUCAAUAAGCGGAGGAAAAGAAACCAACAGGGAUUGCCCUAGUAACGGCGAGUGAAGCGGCAACAGCUCAAAUUUGAAAUCUGGCUUCGGCCCGAGUUGUAAUUUGUAGAGGAUGCUUUUGGUGAGGUGCCUUCUGAGUUCCCUGGAACGGGACGCCAGAGAGGGUGAGAGCCCCGUAUAGUCGGCCACCGAUCCUCUGUAAAGCUCCUUCGACGAGUCGAGUAGUUUGGGAAUGCUGCUCAAAAUGGGAGGUAUAUCUCUUCUAAAGCUAAAUAUUGGCCAGAGACCGAUAGCGCACAAGUAGAGUGAUCGAAAGAUGAAAAGCACUUUGAAAAGAGGGUUAAAUAGCACGUGAAAUUGUUGAAAGGGAAGCGCUUGUGACCAGACUUGUGCCGGGCUGAUCAUCCAGUGUUCUCACUGGUGCACUCGACCCGGCUCAGGCCAGCGUCGGUUCUCGUAGGGGGAUAAAAGCUUCGGGAACGUGGCACCUUCGGGUGUGUUAUAGCCCGUUGCUUAAUACCCUUGUGGGGACCGA